GAUGAACGCUGGCGGCGUGCCUAACACAUGCAAGUCGAACGAAGCUUGACGGAUGAUUUCUUCGGAAUGAAACCAGAUAUGACUUAGUGGCGGACGGGUGAGUAACACGUGAGCAACCUGCCUUUCAGAGGGGGAUAACGGCUGGAAACGGUCGCUAAUACCGCAUGAUGUGUUCGGAUGGCAUCAUCUGAACAUCAAAGAUUUAUCGCUGAAAGAUGGGCUCGCGUCUGAUUAGAUAGUUGGUGGGGUAACGGCCUACCAAGUCUACGAUCAGUAGCCGGACUGAGAGGUUGAACGGCCACAUUGGGACUGAGAUACGGCCCAGACUCCUACGGGAGGCAGCAGUGGGGAAUAUUGCACAAUGGGGGAAACCCUGAUGCAGCAACGCCGCGUGAAGGAUGACGGUUUUCGGAUUGUAAACUUCUUUUCUUAGUGACGAAGACAGUGACGGUAGCUAAGGAAUAAGCAUCGGCUAACUACGU
This 482-nucleotide ribosomal RNA is filed under the name uncultured bacterium. RNAcentral describes it as "partial 16S ribosomal RNA". It matches the Rfam family "Bacterial small subunit ribosomal RNA", at positions 28 to 506 of the family's 1533-position model. The record is from RNAcentral.